UGAGACAGAGCGUUUGAGGUUGUAUCCCA
This 29-nucleotide non-coding RNA is filed under the name Rattus norvegicus (Norway rat). The record is from RNAcentral. Lineage: Eukaryota; Metazoa; Chordata; Mammalia; Rodentia; Muridae.